RNAcentral lists this signal recognition particle RNA (117 nucleotides) under Chlorocebus sabaeus (green monkey). RNAcentral's name for it is "Metazoan signal recognition particle RNA". It matches the Rfam family "Metazoan signal recognition particle RNA". Rfam says of the family: The signal recognition particle (SRP) is a universally conserved ribonucleoprotein. It is involved in the co-translational targeting of proteins to membranes. The record is from Rfam by way of RNAcentral. Lineage: Eukaryota; Metazoa; Chordata; Mammalia; Primates; Cercopithecidae.
GCCAGGCGCGGUGGCUCACGCCUGUAAUCCCAGCUCUUUGGGAGGCUGAGAUGGGUGGAUCACCUGAGGUCAGGAGUUCUUGACCAGCCUGGCCAAUAUGGUGAAACCCCAUCUCUA